Molecule: long non-coding RNA, 1100 nt
Organism: Rhipicephalus sanguineus (brown dog tick)
Lineage: Eukaryota; Metazoa; Arthropoda; Arachnida; Ixodida; Ixodidae
Exons: 2
Source: RefSeq, a predicted model, not a curated record
ACGUAUAUGUGUUUUAUAGGAAUACGUAUGGAGCCGGUGGCUAGGAAGGACUUUGAGCAGCAGCAUGGUGUGACAGUGACAGAGGUGGGCCUGUUCCUUCAUCCGCAACAGCCAUGGCUUUGUGGAAGCCCCGACGGAAUCUUUUCCCUCUCCGGCGAGACGUGUUUGCUGGAGAUCAGGUGCCCUUACCGAUGCAAGGACAAGGGGAUUUUUGAUGAUUUGGGGAACAGCAUUGUGGAAUAUGUGCAUCAUAUUCAUGGAAAUGCCGCACUGAAGAAGUCACACAGGUAUUACACGCAGGUCCAGAUUUUGAUGUACCUGAUAAAUGCAAAGCUCUGCUAUUUUUUUGUAUAUUCGGGCAAACAAAGCGCGAGCAUCCCUGUUGCUAGGGAUGAUGCCUUCCUGCUAGAAGCUAUACCAACACUUGAGCAAUUUUACUUUGAAUGGAUGUUGCCUGAACUUUUGAAGCGGCAAAGCUUGUAAUAGACCUCUUCCGGGGUACGUCACAGCGUGACGUCACCGCUGCAUGUGCAAUGCGGCGGUUGGCAAAACACUCCCGCCGGUGGCUGAGUGGGGUGCAGUCGCUCGGUGCUUGGGGCAAUUUUUUUUUUUCUUUUUGAAAGCUUAAUCUACAUCUCACAGUGGCAACAUUAGCUGCGGUAUGUGUCAGAGAACAUCUAGGUGUGUGGUAAAGUGCGUGAUGAAAUAUUUGCCACGCUGGCUAGCUGUUUAUCUCGGAGAAGUGAACACACGUGGCGGCCUGUGCGAGGAAGAGCGGCAUCGUCUUCGAAAAUGUGCAGUGUUGACUGUGGCGUGUAGUGUGCGUUGAAAGGCAUCGACAAUAUUGGUUCACCUUUACGGACGGUGAAACUGGGAAUAUUGUGCGUGGUGUGUGCAGUGUUAAUAACGCGAUGUGUCCUGUUGGCGAAAACACUGGUAAUCGUUGUGGGCCGGUUGCAGUAACCGGUUGUCGAUGGAACUUUACGAUCUGACAUUUUAGUCAAGGUAAAAAUGCAUUUGAUGCGAUCAUCUGUGAGUGGGUACAUCUCGGCGUAUGUGCGGCGUGCAGAAAAAUAAAACUGCAUGAUCUUCGGGUGAUA